CAGAAAGACCCUAUGAAGCUUUACUGUAACUUGAAAUUGAAAUUGGACUUUAGUCGCGCAGUAUAGGUGGGAGGCGUUGAGCAUAUUCUUGCGGGAAUAUAGGAGCCAUCAGUGAGAUACCACUCUUCUAAUGUUAGAUUUCUAACCUUGUACCAUUAUCUGGUCAAGGAACAGUUUCAGGCGGGCAGUUUGACUGGGGCGGUCGCCUCCCAAACGGUAACGGAGGCGUACAAAGGUUUCCUCUGAACGGAUAGAAAUCGUAUCUAGAGUAUAAAGGCAUAAGGAAGCUUGACUGUGAGACCUACAAGUCGAGCAGGGACGAAAGUCGGUCUUAGUGAUCUGACGGUACUGAGUGGAAAGGCCGUCACUCAACGGAUAAAAGUUACUCUAGGGAUAACAGGCUGA
Molecule: ribosomal RNA, 405 nt
Filed under: uncultured Synechococcus sp.
Lineage: Bacteria; Bacillati; Cyanobacteriota; Cyanophyceae; Synechococcales; Synechococcaceae
Description: partial 23S ribosomal RNA
Rfam family: Bacterial large subunit ribosomal RNA
Source: RNAcentral